UAAAGUGCUUAUAGUGCAGGUAGUAUUGAUACCUGGCCUACCGCCCUGUAAGCACUUAUCU
This is a microRNA precursor of Gadus morhua (Atlantic cod), 61 nucleotides long. Ensembl annotates it as gmo-mir-20a-3. Its record names the gene gmo-mir-20a-3. NCBI's taxonomy places the organism in Eukaryota, Metazoa, Chordata, Actinopteri, Gadiformes, Gadidae. The record is from Ensembl.